This 85-nucleotide microRNA precursor is filed under the name Hordeum vulgare. RNAcentral describes it as "miR6206 stem-loop (hvu-MIR6206)". Lineage: Eukaryota; Viridiplantae; Streptophyta; Magnoliopsida; Poales; Poaceae. The record is from miRBase by way of RNAcentral.
CGAGGCUGUGGUUCUGCAUCUCCGUGCCACUCACUCUUAUUGGAGGCUUGCUAGGCACACGGGCUGCAGGCAUAGAAUUCCCUGU